This 1353-nucleotide long non-coding RNA is filed under the name Brassica rapa (field mustard). RNAcentral describes it as "long non-coding RNA (BRAP_LNC003333)". Lineage: Eukaryota; Viridiplantae; Streptophyta; Magnoliopsida; Brassicales; Brassicaceae. The record is from RNAcentral.
AAAGAAAAGGGUAAAAGAUCUCUUGCUUCUGUCAUUAGUUUAGGUAAAUGGUUAAACUAUAUUAAAAGCAAAGAAGAUUUUUCUGCUGUCGUUGGGAACUUAUUGAGGUUUGUUGCUUACAAGCUUUUCAUGCAUAAUAAUUUCUUGUUUUGGUAAUAACCAUUUUCGAUAGUUUAUCAAUUAUCACUGACUUAGCCACUCAUGUUCUUAUAUUUCCCUUUAGGAGGUAAAGAUUGAUUCUUGGGGGUGUUUUGUAUUUUUUGUUUGUUACUGAUGUCAGGUGAAACUUCAGAAACAUAAUGCAGUUGUGCAUGGGCUCUCAGAUACAAAAACAGGCUACCUUGUGCUUCAAGGAUCCUGCAGACUGAAGGAGUAUCUUUCCCUUCACUCUUGUUAUGUCUCUCCUUGAAAAUAUAAUAAGAUUCAUCAUCACAUGAUUGGCUAGAUUCAUGUUGUUCUUGAGGGUAAGGCCAAGUCAUCUUUCACUGUAAGAUAGUUACAACAGUCCUCUUGCUUGUGCUGUUCUGACCGUUAAAAACAAGGGGUGAGAAACUCUCCUUGCUAAAAUGUUCUACUUAGAAUUGAACAUAAAGGUUGUUGGGGAUAUCUUUCAGGUAUAAUAUUUAGCGGUGAUUCGGCAACAUUACUAAGGGAAUGUGAUGGAAAUGCUGUCUUUUUACCGUCUAUGAAUACUUACUGAUAUCAUAUCCACUCCAGAUUGUGGAGGUUCUAAUCUGAAAGGUGGUUUAUUUGGUUGACAUGGGGAUAAGAGUUUUCCAAAUUAUUAAUUUAAAGAAAAAAGCUUUUUAGCUUGUCUCCUCAUUGUUGAUUGCAAAACAUAUAAAGAGACCCUGGUCUAGUUCAUGAUCUUGGCUUGAAUAAAAACUUUUCUAAGUUUUUAAGGGAACUUACUCAUGUUCCUUCAAGCAUUUACUUGGUCUCAAACGCAUUUAUUGAUGUCAUAGGUUUAGGAUAUAGCUUUGAUCAGAAGAGUACAAGGAGAUAAACAAAGAGACUGACAGAAGAGAGCAAGCAAAGCUUAUUUCUUCAGUAAUCUUGAGAGCCAUGAUUUUGAGAUCUUUCACCUUCAGUUGCGCUUUUGCGCCUUCUCUCAUUGUGUCCAGCUAAGCGUCUCCUACAACUCCGUUUGGAUUCAUCAAACUCACCGAGGUCGUGAAACCUAUAAAAAACCAAAGUUAGAAUUCUUAUUUUCUUCUUGUUUUUUAUCACAGGGGAUGAAUAUAUUUGAUGACAAAGAGAUGGUACCUGCUACAUUGUUGGCAGAAACGUUGGUGAAGACCAUAGAUCCGAACAACAGGAGCUUUGGCAUGAAAUUCGCAGACUUUGUGUCGU